This 246-nucleotide unclassified non-coding RNA is filed under the name Hevea brasiliensis (rubber tree). The record is from RNAcentral. Lineage: Eukaryota; Viridiplantae; Streptophyta; Magnoliopsida; Malpighiales; Euphorbiaceae.
UGGCUGGGGCGCUAUCAAAAGCGAAGCGACAGCCACAUCCAAAGAGAAGGAUGACGAAGAAAACUGUGAAUACGAGAUGGUGUGGGAUGCACAGGGUUCGAUGCAUCUUGUCAAGAAAGCUGCAAUGACAGAUCCGAUCCCGAGACCAGAUGCUGGAUUAGUGAGCAGGGGUAAUGUGGUAGCGCGGUCUGCUGCUAAAAAGCAGAAUGCCCAGGAGGCGGAGACAGCUGUUUUGCUGGAGUUGGG